CUUGGGCACAGACAUGGAGCCACAAUAAGCUAUUGCCAGUCCUGGUGUUUGGCUUCCCCCUCACCCCCCUUCUGGCUUAGAGUUUCUCAUCUGUCAAGAUUCAUUAACAUGGUGAUGAAGAUUUAUGAAGGGCAAGGUCAGCAAAACUGCAGACUACAAGAUCACUAGGCUGACAAGUCCUAAGAUCUGCAGGCAGCAGACUGGAGACUCGGGAGAACUGAUGGUGUAGUUCCAGAUCAAAGGCCAGCAGGCUCGAGACUGAGGAAGAGCCAUUAUUUCAACUGGAAUCCCAAGGCAGGAAAAAACUAAUGACCCAGCUUGAAGGCAGUCAGAGAAAUGUUGAACACACAGCAAGAUGGCAGCUGACUACAAGCUAAGAGAAGAGGCUUCAUAAUAAAACCUAUCUUGCUGGCACCUUGACCUUGGACUUCUCAGCCUCUGGAACUGUGAGAAACAAUUUAAAUUGUUUAGACCACCCAGUUGGUGAUAAUUUAUUAUAACAGCCUAAGCAGACUAAUAUAACUAGUUAUUUGGAGACAGAGCCAGUUGCGAGAAUCUGAGCAGACGUUGGUAGCGUCAACCUAAACGGAAGAAGCUGAGGCAAAAUUAACGUAAGUAGAGAGUUUCUUUGGGCCAAGCUGGAGGAGUGCUACCCUGGAGCAUAGACUGAAAUUGCCCUGAAUAUAUACUCUGAUUAGUAGCAGUAACAAAUGAAUCUGUAAAGGCAAAAGAGGUGGACAGGGAGUGGGCUGAUAUAAAGUUGUUUGUCGGGAAUUCUCAUAGGUUUGCAGAAAUAACAUUGAUUUGGGAUUGGCUAUACUUGUUAAGCCAUAGAGUAUGGGUAAUAGUGACUGGG
Molecule: long non-coding RNA, 856 nt
Filed under: Homo sapiens (human)
Lineage: Eukaryota; Metazoa; Chordata; Mammalia; Primates; Hominidae
Description: HSALNT0244688
Source: RNAcentral